UUCCGGCCGGAGUAGCCAGCGGCGGCGGCGGGCGGAGCGCAUCGGCGAUGGACUCUCUAGCUCGUCCUUCUGUCUCCCGCCCACGGACUCGAGCCCGCCCGCCGCCGCCGCCGCCGCCGCCGGAGGCGCUGCCCACCGUCGGCUUCGAAGAGGAGCUGUACGAGUGCCUGGAUUACUACUACCUGCGUGACUUCCCGGCCUCUGGGGCUGGACGCAGCAAGGGCCGGACGCGGCGCGAGCAGCAGCUACGCACCAACUACCCGGUGCCCGGCGGCCACGAGCGCAAGGUGGCACAGAUACUGCUCAACGGGCAGCGCAAGCGGCGCCAGCGCCAGCUGCAACCGCGGCCGCGCACACGCCUGGCCUGAGCACACGCCACGCCUGAGCGGGAACCUGAGACAGGAGGAUCUUGAGUUGCUUGAGUUGGAGUCCCGCCUGGGCAUUAUUGAAACCUGAAAGACCUGUUAAAAAGUAUUUUCCAGCUGUAACCGAGAUCCUCCGUGCUAGUCAACUGGACUUUUUGACAGGGUUUUAAGUUUUACUGCUCUAGUGUUUUUCCUCACUAAUUAAUUAUUAAGUAAGUAGUUUCCUAGUGGGUAUGCCCUUUUAGGGUUUUCCAAUUAAAAGAGAACAGCAAGAAUGUA
RNA transcript from Mus pahari (shrew mouse), 644 nucleotides. It is a transcript of the gene named nuclear protein 2, transcriptional regulator, with no coding region annotated. NCBI's taxonomy places the organism in Eukaryota, Metazoa, Chordata, Mammalia, Rodentia, Muridae. The transcript is spliced from 3 exons. The record is from RefSeq and is a predicted model, not a curated record.